Molecule: ribosomal RNA, 253 nt
Filed under: uncultured bacterium
Lineage: Bacteria
Description: partial 16S ribosomal RNA
Rfam family: Bacterial small subunit ribosomal RNA
Source: RNAcentral
UACGUAGGGGGCAAGCGUUGUCCGGAUUUAUUGGGCGUAAAGCGCGUGUAGGCGGCCAGGUAGGUCCGCUGUGAAAACCCGAGGCUCAACCUCGGGACGUCGGCGGAAACCAUUUGGCUAGAGUCCGGAAGAGGAGAGUGGAAUUCCUGGUGUAGCGGUGAAAUGCGCAGAUAUCAGGAAGAACACCCGUGGCUAAGGCGGCUCUCUAGUACGGUACUGACGCUGAGACGCGAAAGCGUGGGGAGCGAACAGG